GGGCCGAUAGCUCAGCGGUAGAGCACUGCAUUCGCAUUGCAGGGGUCAGGGGUUCAAAUCCCCUUCGGUCCACGA
RNAcentral lists this transfer RNA (75 nucleotides) under Candidatus Portnoybacteria bacterium RBG_19FT_COMBO_36_7. RNAcentral's name for it is "tRNA-Ala". It matches the Rfam family "tRNA". Rfam says of the family: Transfer RNA (tRNA) molecules are approximately 80 nucleotides in length. Lineage: Bacteria; Candidatus Portnoyibacteriota. The record is from RNAcentral.